UACGGAGGAUCCGAGCGUUAUCCGGAUUUAUUGGGUUUAAAGGGUGCGCAGGUUGUUUGAUAAGCCAGUGGUGAAAGUCUGUCGCUUAACGGUAGGAUUGCCAUUGAUACUGUUGGACUUGAAUAUGGAUGAGGUAGGCGGAAUGUGUAGUGUAGCGGUGAAAUGCAUAGAUAUUACACAGAACACCGAUUGCGAAGGCAGCUUACUAAUCCAUCAUUGACGCUGAGGCACGAAAGCGUGGGGAUCAAACAGGA
This 254-nucleotide ribosomal RNA is filed under the name uncultured prokaryote. RNAcentral's name for it is "partial 16S ribosomal RNA". It matches the Rfam family "Bacterial small subunit ribosomal RNA", at positions 524 to 777 of the family's 1533-position model. The record is from RNAcentral.